UGGGGAAUAUCGGACAAUGGGCGAAAGCCUGAUCCAGCCAUGCCGCGUGUGUGAAGAAGGUCUUCGGAUUGUAAAGCACUUUAAGUUGGGAGGAAGGGCAGUAAGUUAAUACCUUGCUGUUUUGACGUUACCGACAGAAUAAGCACCGGCUAACUCUGUGCCAA
RNAcentral lists this ribosomal RNA (164 nucleotides) under uncultured bacterium. RNAcentral's name for it is "partial 16S rRNA". It matches the Rfam family "Bacterial small subunit ribosomal RNA", at positions 355 to 511 of the family's 1533-position model. The record is from RNAcentral.